RNAcentral lists this ribosomal RNA (207 nucleotides) under uncultured bacterium. RNAcentral describes it as "partial 16S ribosomal RNA". It matches the Rfam family "Bacterial small subunit ribosomal RNA", at positions 568 to 774 of the family's 1533-position model. The record is from RNAcentral.
CACGUAGGCGGCGCAGCAAGUCAGGGGUGAAAUCCCGGGGCUCAACCCCGGAACUGCCCUUGAAACUGCAGUGCUAGAAUCUUGGAGAGGCGAGUGGAAUUCCGAGUGUAGAGGUGAAAUUCGUAGAUAUUCGGAAGAACACCAGUGGCGAAGGCGACUCGCUGGACAAGUAUUGACGCUGAGGUGCGAAAGCGUGGGGAUCAAACA